Molecule: transfer-messenger RNA, 359 nt
Filed under: Opitutales
Lineage: Bacteria; Pseudomonadati; Verrucomicrobiota; Opitutia
Also listed under: 1 other name
Description: JAJDZZ01 sp014529615 Standard tmRNA
Rfam family: transfer-messenger RNA
About the family: Bacterial tmRNA, also known as 10Sa RNA or SsrA, is named for its dual tRNA and mRNA-like properties.
Source: RNAcentral
GGGGGUGUUCCGGAAUUCGACCUCGAAUCGGAGCAUAGGGCUGCACGUCGAUGAUGAUAGUUAACAUCGUUAAAAUGCUGUCGCACACUUAUUAUAAGUGCCUAUGAUGAAGCAUUACCAAUGGCUGCUUAAACCAGUCAUCGUCUCUACUCUGACGCCUGAUGGGGGAUAGGGACGUCGUUAUCAGGCAUAGCUCCCGCGGUGUAUCCAGCCGGGGGCCGUAUCAUCAAACUGGCUACUGGCGAUUCGAUAGCGGGUCACGCCGCGAUCGGGUUGCGAAAGCAAAAGCGUGACUAAACGUGUAGACGUCGUAUGUGAAGGUUCCAGGGACGCGGGUUCGACUCCCGCCACCUCCACCA